Non-coding RNA from Tachysurus fulvidraco (yellow catfish), 709 nucleotides. The record is from the annotation of a RefSeq genome assembly. Lineage: Eukaryota; Metazoa; Chordata; Actinopteri; Siluriformes; Bagridae.
UUAUUUUUCUGUAGCACUACAUGUACAAUAACAGAAGGACUCAGGAGGACUGGAACACACUCCCAGAAUCAAGGCCAUCAAAGUCCGAGUGUCUCCACAAUAGAAGGAGGAACUAGGAAAUGUUCUCCUGCUGAGUAGUUCUACUGAAGUGCAGUGAUGUGAAGAAGCAGUAAUGAGUAAAUGUUGUGUAAGCGUGUGUAAAGGUGUGUUUAUUGUGUGUUUGUGGUCUACAGAAGGUCCCACGGUGAAGCCCUCCGUGUCUCUGCUCCCUCCCUCCUCUCUGCACCAGUGUGAGGAAUCGGCCUCGCUGCUCUGCCUGCUGUCUGCCUACUCUCCACAGGGGGCGUCGGUGAGCUGGACGGUGGACGGCUCGGCGGUGAAGGACGGGGUCUUGACCAGUGCAGAAGAACAGAAGAAAGACGGUUACACACGCAGCAGUACCCUGACCCUCAGCAAAGCACUCUGGGAAAAGGGGGAGGAGUUUGUCUGUACGGUCUCCCACGAGGGCGUGGAUCAUCCGGUCACGUUCAGAAAGAGCCAGUGUUAAGGCUAACAGCUCCAAGAUAGAACUGAACACUGAGCUGCUUCCACAUCCAUCUACAAUAGAGUUUCAGUUCUACACAAUGCUGACAUUUCUGUCUUUACUCUCUUCACUGUCCUGUUGCUCUUCCUGUAGUUUUGCUCUGCUGAAAUAAAGCUUCAUUUUGGA